This 345-nucleotide ribosomal RNA is filed under the name Knemidokoptes sp. HB-2015. RNAcentral's name for it is "SSU rRNA". It matches the Rfam family "Eukaryotic small subunit ribosomal RNA", at positions 794 to 1139 of the family's 1831-position model. Lineage: Eukaryota; Metazoa; Arthropoda; Arachnida; Sarcoptiformes; Knemidokoptidae. The record is from RNAcentral.
CCUGAAUACUGUUGCAUGGAAUAAUAGAAUAGGACCUUGGUUCUGUUCUGUUGGUCUUCGGAAUCGAGGUAAUGAUUAAGAGGGACGGACGGGGACAUUAGUACUGCGGCGAUAGAGGUGAAAUUCUUGGACCGCCGCAUGACUAACAAAAGCGAAAGCAUUUGUCAAGAACGUUUUCAUUAAUCAAGAACGAAAGUUAGAGGUUCGAAGGCGAUCAGAUACCGCCCUAGUUCUAACCAUAAACGAUGCCAACCAGCAAUCAGCCAUAGUUAAUUAGAGACUAGGCUGGCGGCUUCCGGGAAACCAAAGUUUUUCGGUUCCAGGGGAAGUAUGGUUGCAAAGCUG